This 74-nucleotide transfer RNA is filed under the name Planctomycetota bacterium. RNAcentral describes it as "tRNA-Arg". It matches the Rfam family "tRNA". Rfam says of the family: Transfer RNA (tRNA) molecules are approximately 80 nucleotides in length. Their secondary structure includes four short double-helical elements and three loops (D, anti-codon, and T loops). Lineage: Bacteria; Pseudomonadati; Planctomycetota. RNAcentral also lists the same sequence under 1 other name. The record is from RNAcentral.
GUCCGCGUAGCUCAGUUGGAUAGAGCGUCUGCCUCCGGAGCAGAAGGUCGUGGGUUCGAGUCCCUCCGCGGAUG